CCAAGUAUACAUAAUUGCUGUGUGCUUGCACGACAGCAAUUAUGUAAAUUUGGCGCACCCAACGAUAUGAGCAAGGAGGGCGAGCAGCCCGGAUUGCGAAUAUCGGGGGGCGAUUGCGGGAGCACGGAAGUGCGGAGCAAUCG
This 143-nucleotide small RNA is filed under the name pig gut metagenome. RNAcentral describes it as "Clostridiales-1 RNA". It matches the Rfam family "Clostridiales-1 RNA", at positions 13 to 157 of the family's 166-position model. The record is from RNAcentral.